UACAGAGGGUGCGAGCGUUGUCCGGAAUCACUGGGCGUAAAGGGCGCGUAGGCGGCGUUUUUAAGUCGGGGGUGAAAGCCUGUGGCUCAACCACAGAAUUGCCUUCGAUACUGGGACGCUUGAGUGUGGUAGAGGUUGGUGGAACUGCGAGUGUAGAGGUGAAAUUCGUAGAUAUUCGCAAGAACACCGGUGGCGAAGGCGGCCAACUGGACCAUCACUGACGCUGAGGCGCGAAAGCGUGGGGAGCAAACAGG
This 254-nucleotide ribosomal RNA is filed under the name uncultured bacterium. Its description in RNAcentral is "partial 16S ribosomal RNA". It matches the Rfam family "Bacterial small subunit ribosomal RNA", at positions 524 to 776 of the family's 1533-position model. The record is from RNAcentral.